Molecule: ribosomal RNA, 799 nt
Filed under: uncultured Glomeromycotina
Lineage: Eukaryota; Fungi; Glomeromycota
Description: SSU rRNA
Rfam family: Eukaryotic small subunit ribosomal RNA
Source: RNAcentral
AUCAACUUUCGAUGGUAGGAUAGAGGCCUACCAUGGUGGUAACGGGUAACGGGGUGCUAGGGCACGACACCGGAGAGGGAGCCUGAGAAACGGCUACCACAUCCAAGGAUGGCAGCAGGCGCGCAAAUUACCCAAUCCCGACACGGGGAGGUAGUGACAAUAAAUAACAAUACGGGGUUCUUUAGGAUUUCGUAAUUGGAAUGAGUACAAUUUAAAUCUCUUAACGAGGAACAAUUGGAGGGCAAGUCUGGUGCCAGCAGCCGCGGUAAUUCCAGCUCCAAUAGCGUAUAUUAAAGUUGUUGCAGUUAAAAAGCUCGUAGUUGAAUUUCGGGGUCAGUAGGUUGGUCAUGCCACUGGUAUGUACUGGCCUCACUGAUUCCUCCUUCCUGAUGAGCCGUAAUGCCAUUAAUUUGGUGUUGCGAGGAAUCUGGACUGUUACUUUGAAAAAAUUAGAGUGUUUAAAGCAGGCUAACGCUUGAAUACAUUAGCAUGGAAUAAUGAAAUAGGACGUUCGAUCUUAUUUUGUUGGUUUCUAAGAUUGACGUAAUGAUUAAUAGGGAUAGUUGGGGGCAUUAGUAUUCAAUUGUCAGAGGUGAAAUUCUUGGAUUUAUUGAAGACUAACUACUGCGAAAGCAUUCGCCAAGGAUGUUUUCAUUAAUCAAGAACGAAAGUUAGGGGAUCGAAGACGAUCAGAUACCGUCGUAGUCUUAACCAUAAACUAUGCCGACUAGGGAUCGGAUGAUGUUAAUUUUUUAAUGACUCAUUCGGCGCCUUACGGGAAACCAAAGUGUUUGGGUUC